UCAAACGCUUUUCUCAUUGUAAAAUUCUAUGUAUGUCCUAAUUGGUUGAAUUUUAUUUUCAAUUUAUAAAUAUUCGAUGCUGUAUGUUGUUAUUUUGCUCCCUUCGUUCUGAGCUUCAAAUGUCACCCAAAACAUUAAAGUACAAACAGACGAUUUAACAUUUUCAGCUUUCAGCCCCCCCCCCCCUCGCCUUCGUCUAGUGAAAUGGCGUUUAUUUUGAAGUUUGACAUUUUUAAGACUCCCAUUCCAUUUUUGUUAUUUUCUCUUAAGUCAAAAAAAGUUAUCCUGUGAGCCCCUUCUCUAGUUGAAAAAUAUUCAAAAAAAAUUCUAUUUACCCAAACGUUUUCCAUUUCUCCCUCAAAAUUUUUGUACAUAUUUUUUUUCAAGAAAAAACAUCCUCCUACAAAUUUAUUUGGUCCCUUUGUGUGGAGCCUCUCAAACGUUGAAAAAAUUCAUAACCAAAAAAUAAAAUGAAUAAAAGUCGAUAAUUUUUUUCUGAAAAUUUUACAAAACCUUCAAGAAGCACACCACAGGUUCUGUACAGAUGUAAAUCCCCAAAUUUCAGCCUCAUAGGUCAAUUUGGGGAGGCCCCAGCGAUGAUUCUGAAUCGAAAAUCAUUUUAAAAAACGAGAAAAUUCACUUUAUUUUUGCUGAAAAGGGACGAGGAAAGGUUGAAAAGUCGAAACCUUCAAUAUAGAGGACACAUUUAAGGUACUCUUCAGAUUUAUUUUUAUAUUUCAAAUUCGGCCUCUUCGAUUAAUUUGACGAUGUUUCGGCGAUUCAUUCAAAAUCAAAAACCUUUAAAAAGGACGAAAAUUCACUUUUUUUGUAGCUGAAAAGGGUGGGGAAGGGUUGAUAAGUUGAAACCUCCCAUACUUGCCAAGUUCCAGUCUCCUAGGUCAAUUUAGAAAGAGGGGAGAAGGGGUGUUGUCAAAAAAUACGAAAAAAAUCAGUCUUCUCCCCUCCGUAUCAGUCUAAGAGGAUGAUUUUUGGUUAUGUAACACAACUUUCAAUUUCCGAUCAAUUCGAUUCCUAUUUUGAUUUUUUUUUAACCAUUUCACUUCCAUUCAUCCCUUUCCUUAAAAUUUGAAGAUUCGUGAAUUUUGGGUCAAGGUCAUCGCACUCAGGUCCCUCCAAUCCAACGCCAACCCAAGCCCAAGAACUAAAUUUGCGCAAAUUAAAAUGCACUCGUCUAUCGAAAAUUUAUCAUUUUUGGUCAACACUUUUCUGAAUGACUAUAUUUUCAAAAACAAAAAAAAACUUAACCGCAAGCAAUGUUGGUCCCCUCAAUCCCAGAGGUUUUCUCGAAAAAGAGGUUAUUUGGAAAAUUUUGAUCAGAGUGUUAAAUAGAUAUAUAGAGGCGUUGCGUACGUUGGGAGGAUAAGAAUAUUUCCCUAAUAGGUCAGGAUGAAUCUAACUCCCUAAGAGAUGUAAUAUAUCACCUUUUAAAACAGUACUUACCCGCUGCUAGCUCAGCUAUUUCAACACCAAUAUGUAUAAAUUUAAACAGAUUUAGUCGAGUUUACCUUGUAUUAAUUCGAACCGCACGCGAAAUAAGAACACACGAUAAACACGAAUAGUGUAUUAUAAUUUUGGAAUAAAAUUACAACACGAAACUUAAGUCUAAAACAUAUAAAACUCUACGCGUAUAACCAAUAUAUAUUCCACCGAAUAGUGGCGCAAGUAGGAUCGCUUUUACCUAUCUGCGUGUAACUAUCGAAUUGCCCGCGUUGGGUAGCGAAUUUAGAAGACUUAAGUUUAAACGCGAAUACUCUCCCUUAAACACGAACGUUAAGGCAGAGGACCUGGGACUCAAGCACAACUCUUACGUAGGAGUGAGUGGCCUUAUUACUUUUCCGCGGUCAGACCUACCAGACGAAGCGCGAAUCGACAAGUGAAGAUCAAUUCCAUCUCAACUUGGCUUCUAGCCUCGAGUUGAGAAGGAAUUGAGCUUUACGAACUUGUGAGCUUUUCACAUCUGCCCUUAAUGGAACGAUGUGAAAACACCUCUUGGGUGGUUCCCACGUACUUAACACCUUACCUAAGUGCAUCGAAUAUAUACUUUCAUCUAAGUAAAGUACUGUAGAAUCGAACUAUUGAUUGGAUUCUCCAGUACUUCCUUUAGAUGAAAGAUUUAUAAACCCACUGAGAGAGAUACGAUGAAUAUCCCUGUCUAGCCAGUGAAGGCAUAUUGUCCCCUUACAUUUGCCCCUAACGUGGGUUUACUUCUAAAGUAUCCCCUGAGGAAAUGUAGAGGAAAGCACGGAAAUUUUGAAAAAAGGUGACAUUGUGCUUCACUGGAUGUGACCCUAUUGCCCCCCGUACUUUGCUUGAGUGAUGCGGGGAAUAGUAAUCCCAAAAUAAAUUUUGAAACUCUUUGGUUUUUAUUAUAAUUCCAAAAGUGAGGUGGAUUUUGAGUGUGCUGGUGAGUUGACUCUUACUGAUAAAGAGUAACUACAAUUGACCAUCAAUAUUUGACCGAAGUCAAGAUAUCAAUAAAUCAAUCCAGAAGCUACCUUUGAUCUGGUCACUCCGCAGCAGGGUCAUGGCCGAAAUGGUAAGUAUUUAAGUACGAUUUAAUUUUUGAGGGGGAGGGUUAAUCUAAAAGGUACCCUUCCUCAAUUUUAUGAUUUCAGGAGAAGAUGAAAAAAGCUCAAGAAGUUCGUGGUUGUUUGGCUUUGUUGUCUUUGGAUAGUCUGACCAAGAAUUUUUGAAGAAAAAUUGCUGGUAAGGUUGGCUUGAGUAUAGCUAUUGUUUUUACUAAGAAUUUUGAAAAAAUGGAUGAUUUUCUAUUGGAAAAUCAUUCAUUGAAUGAUUUGGGUAGAGUUUUUUAAAGUUAAAAAAAAUAAAAAAAUUUGAAAAAAGAAAAAGUUCAAAAAAUUCUAAAGGAAAAAAUUUUAUCAAAGUUUGAUGUAAUAUUUGAGCAUUUGAAAUGUUCAAAACUGAUCAUUGAUAAGAAAAAAAAAAAAGAAAAGAAAAUUAAAAAAUUUGGAAAAACUUUGAAGAAAGUGAGUUAUUUUUCUAUUAGAAAAAUUGUCAUUUCUUCAAAAUCCAAAAAAGAAUUGUUUUUUAGGGAAGUUUGAAAAAUGAGAGAAAAAAAAAAAGGUUGAGGAAAAAUGAAUUGUUUUUCUAUUGGAAAAAAUGUUCAUUUUUUCAAAAGAAAAUUGACAUUUUGGAAUUUUAUUUUUAUGAUAGAGGGCUAAGUUUUUGGAAAAAAUUGCGCUACCUUUCUGUUGUACACGGAGUUCGGUUGAAAGCGAAACUACUUACCACCACUAUUCGGUGAAACAUAAAACAAAUUAAAAAAAAAUUUUGAAAAAAUUUAAAAAAGUUUAAAGGGAAAUAAAUUUUUAAGAAAAAUUAUAAAAAUAAAUAGGAAUGUACCUAAACAAACUUAAUUCUAAGCAACGUUGUUUUUCUUCUUUUUUAUUUGUUUAACGUUGUUUUAUAGUUAAUUAAGAAUAAAUUAAUUUCUAGUCAGUCUUAUUUCUCAUAAUUAAUUUCAAGUUUUUUCUUCUUCUUUACAGGUGUAUUUUGGUCAACGACGAUGGCAAGAGAAUUACUUUGUUUAUCAAAAACUAAAGAUAAGUACAAAAACAUAUUUACAUUUUUAUUAAAUAAUGUAAAAUUUAAGAGCAUUUUUGUUUCUUAGGAUUAAUCAGUCUAAUUUAAACACAUGAUCGAUUUAAAAUAUCUGUACAUUUUUUAUUUCUAAAAAAAAAUUUUAAAGUUAUGAAAUAAAUUAAAUAAAAAAUGUUGUUUUUGUUUAGGACCAGUUCAGAGAAAGAUGGGUGAAACUUAAAAUAGGAUUGAGCCAAAGUUGAACCAGUCUGUUGGGAUAUUUUUCGUAUUUACAAUAAGUAAGAAGACAAAGAAGAUUUCCUUAACUAAUAAUGCACAGAUCCUUUUUCUUGGCUCAUGGACUUCUUUUUCAGGUUGUAUUUUUUCAUAGAAAAUAAUUUUAGAUAAAAAUUAAAAAUAAAAUUUGAGUAAACUUAUGCCAUUUUUGUUCCACAGGAAGACAAAGAUAGCUAGAUUUUUGAAAGGAAUGUUAUCCGUCUACGGUCUGAGUCAACAUGGCCUUCUGUGCCCUGAAUGUGAUAUCUUUGUUAAGAAAUAAAAAAAAUUAAAAAAGAA
This is a long non-coding RNA of Planococcus citri (citrus mealybug), 4137 nucleotides long. RefSeq lists it as uncharacterized. The record is from RefSeq and is a predicted model, not a curated record. Lineage: Eukaryota; Metazoa; Arthropoda; Insecta; Hemiptera; Pseudococcidae. The transcript has 2 exons.